Acanthosepion pharaonis is the source of this 104-nucleotide non-coding RNA. The record is from the annotation of a GenBank genome assembly. NCBI's taxonomy places the organism in Eukaryota, Metazoa, Mollusca, Cephalopoda, Sepiida, Sepiidae.
UUGCGAUCAUAUCAUGUUGAAACACCGGACCCCGUACGAUCACUGAAGUUAAGCCUUGUUAGUACCCAGAUAGUUGAUUGCUUGAGAAUACUAGGUGAUGUAAG